RNAcentral lists this ribosomal RNA (1557 nucleotides) under Enterococcus faecium. RNAcentral's name for it is "bacterial SSU rRNA". It matches the Rfam family "Bacterial small subunit ribosomal RNA". The record is from RNAcentral. Lineage: Bacteria; Bacillati; Bacillota; Bacilli; Lactobacillales; Enterococcaceae.
UAUGAGAGUUUGAUCCUGGCUCAGGACGAACGCUGGCGGCGUGCCUAAUACAUGCAAGUCGAACGCUUCUUUUUCCACCGGAGCUUGCUCCACCGGAAAAAGAGGAGUGGCGAACGGGUGAGUAACACGUGGGUAACCUGCCCAUCAGAAGGGGAUAACACUUGGAAACAGGUGCUAAUACCGUAUAACAAUCAAAACCGCAUGGUUUUGAUUUGAAAGGCGCUUUCGGGUGUCGCUGAUGGAUGGACCCGCGGUGCAUUAGCUAGUUGGUGAGGUAACGGCUCACCAAGGCCACGAUGCAUAGCCGACCUGAGAGGGUGAUCGGCCACAUUGGGACUGAGACACGGCCCAAACUCCUACGGGAGGCAGCAGUAGGGAAUCUUCGGCAAUGGACGAAAGUCUGACCGAGCAACGCCGCGUGAGUGAAGAAGGUUUUCGGAUCGUAAAACUCUGUUGUUAGAGAAGAACAAGGAUGAGAGUAACUGUUCAUCCCUUGACGGUAUCUAACCAGAAAGCCACGGCUAACUACGUGCCAGCAGCCGCGGUAAUACGUAGGUGGCAAGCGUUGUCCGGAUUUAUUGGGCGUAAAGCGAGCGCAGGCGGUUUUGGAAAAACAAUAUGAAGAUGUCCUGCAAGGAACCAAAACCCAAUAUGAAGUUGGAGACUUGAGUGCAGAAGAGGAGAGUGGAAUUCCAUGUGUAGCGGUGAAAUGCGUAGAUAUAUGGAGGAACACCAGUGGCGAAGGCGGCUCUCUGGUCUGUAACUGACGCUGAGGCUCGAAAGCGUGGGGAGCAAACAGGAUUAGAUACCCUGGUAGUCCACGCCGUAAACGAUGAGUGCUAAGUGUUGGAGGGUUUCCGCCCUUCAGUGCUGCAGCUAACGCAUUAAGCACUCCGCCUGGGGAGUACGACCGCAAGGUUGAAACUCAAAGGAAUUGACGGGGGCCCGCACAAGCGGUGGAGCAUGUGGUUUAAUUCGAAGCAACGCGAAGAACCUUACCAGGUCUUGACAUCCUUUGACCACUCUAGAGAUAGAGCUUCCCCUUCGGGGGCAAAGUGACAGGUGGUGCAUGGUUGUCGUCAGCUCGUGUCGUGAGAUGUUGGGUUAAGUCCCGCAACGAGCGCAACCCUUAUUGUUAGUUGCCAUCAUUCAGUUGGGCACUCUAGCAAGACUGCCGGUGACAAACCGGAGGAAGGUGGGGAUGACGUCAAAUCAUCAUGCCCCUUAUGACCUGGGCUACACACGUGCUACAAUGGGAAGUACAACGAGUUGCGAAGUCGCGAGGCUAAGCUAAUCUCUUAAAGCUUCUCUCAGUUCGGAUUGCAGGCUGCAACUCGCCUGCAUGAAGCCGGAAUCGCUAGUAAUCGCGGAUCAGCACGCCGCGGUGAAUACGUUCCCGGGCCUUGUACACACCGCCCGUCACACCACGAGAGUUUGUAACACCCGAAGUCGGUGAGGUAACCUUUUUGGAGCCAGCCGCCUAAGGUGGGAUAGAUGAUUGGGGUGAAGUCGUAACAAGGUAGCCGUAUCGGAAGGUGCGGCUGGAUCACCUCCUUU